Zootermopsis nevadensis is the source of this 3577-nucleotide non-coding RNA. The record is from RefSeq and is a predicted model, not a curated record. NCBI's taxonomy places the organism in Eukaryota, Metazoa, Arthropoda, Insecta, Blattodea, Termopsidae.
UAUUAUUUACAGUUGCCGUAAACUGAGUCACUUCACGUGGAAUUUUUAAAACUACUGCAUAUUCGUAGCUGGCAGAGACAAAGGGAACAUAUAACAAGUUACAGCAGGAAAAUUCUUAUUAACAGAUACUGUUAAGGAAAGACAUUUAAAUAUAUAAAAUGGGAAGUAUAAUGCAGAUGGCAUUGGUGAUAAUUGCAUUAGGAUGCUUCCAGUUUACGUCGGCUCAACUGGAAACGAGUAACGACAAUGUAACCGAAAUCUUGAUUCGAUACGGAGGGCUCCUGAGAGACGCAGGGGCGACCGGAACAUGUACCACAACAUGUACAGCUUCAGGGAUAUUUCCAGUCCCAGGAAACUGUUCUCUGUUUCAAGCAUGUGUUCCUUCUACCAACGGAGGCUUUGUCUCAACCACGGCUUCAUGUGGGACGUUAAACUUCGAUCCCGUUGCCCUAGCAUGUUCAUCAUCGUACGUCUGUCCGUCAUGUACCGGACCAGGGUUCAUUUGCGUAUCAACUACACUGUUCACUUUGUGUGCUGAUAAUGGUGUAACAAUUUUAAGUAAUUAUCCGUGUCCGUCAAAUUAUUUCUGUAAUCAAAAAUGUGUUUCCCCUUGCUUGAAUUACAUACCAGAUUGUUAAACUGUAAUUCAUUUCAAACGAUAACUCAAAUGACUUAUGCCAUUAUUAAUUCCUAUUUGUUAAUGCACAUGACCAUAAUUCUUACAUGGUAACUGAUAUUAAAAAAUAACCUACUUUUACACGUUUGUCGACAAAUUACUUGGAAAACAAUCCAUAUAUAAUGAAUGUAAACUGUAACACAGCUGUAACAAUUGUGGCUUUAUCAGAGUACAAUUAAGAAAAUAAAUUACAUCAAUAUGACAAAAGAACAAAUAAGUAGACAUAUUAUAAUUUAAAACGCGUGAUACAUGUACAUUUAUACUUACAGAUACACACCAAGAGAAUGUCUAUCCUUUCCUUCCCAAUCCCUAGGUUUGAAGGCAAAUUUGUGUUACCUGAUCGACACCUAACCUAAAACUAGAUAUUUUCUGACAUUCCCCACUAUUAACUAUGAUUUGUACAGACCUGCCUCAAAAUUCAAACUGUAUUACCAAUAGAUAUACAAUGUUAUUAAGGGAGUAUAAUACGAUACAUUUAUUUUAUAUGAUUAAGAAUCACCCUGUAUAUAAUUAUUAAUUUCGUGGAAUAAAAGUCAUAUAUUUCCAAAAAUCAUAUUAAAUGUGACUUAGAUUAACAAACACUAAAGUUAGAAUACGAAAGAGGAUAUAAAAUGAGAAAUUAAACAUUUUUAAAGUUUAUUUAUUUAUAGUCUAUUAAACGACACUCUUCAGUAGCUCAUAUUAUGGCUUUGAAAUACGUGUAAUAUUUAAUGGUUAAUUUGAAAAAUAAUAAAAAUUAACUUAUACCUGAUCAUGUAUGGUAUUUUCUUAUCUUAACGGGAUUAUAUAUGUGUAAAGAUGGAGAUAUUAAAAAAUCCUGUGUUGUUGAUACAUGUUUUGUCGUCCUUUCUAGGACUUAACUUGCGACACACAUUCAUAUGAUUUAUCAGCUAUUGUUACGCUAUGACCUUGCUCUAUAUUUUCAUGCCAUUUGGAGUACACCUGAUUCAAUGUACAUUAAAUUCUGAUGCGUUAUAAACAAUUUCAAUGAAACUUUUGGCCCUUAUAAAAAUCUACCUGUACUUCAUAUUCGUAGCCCGUUGUUUAUUUUUAAAUUUAAACUUAAAUAUUUUUGUUAACUUUAAAUAAACCUAAACAGAAGAAAUCUACAUAUUUAUGCUGACGUAAAUAUACGGAAAUACAUAAAAGCAUGGUAUACACGUACGAUUUAUAUAAAUAUAAUUAAAGUAAAUAUAGAAGUCAGUGUGAACACGGGUCUAGAAAAGUCUACUAACUUUGGAUCACAACCAACAAUAGAUGUUUAACAUACCGACUUUCAAGUAGCUAAUCUUCUGUCUGAGACUUACACAACUCCUUAAGAAUUUAUGUUGUGAAUUUUUAUUCCAGCUAAUUCUUUAACGUAAGCAAUGAAGCAGACAUUUCUAAACUGAAAGACUUUUCUUUAAAAUGCAGGUUUAGUGUCUAUCAGACUACACUGCUCAAACAACGCAGAUGACAGCCAUGUUUAUAUUCUCUGACGUGAAAACCUGAAAUCUUUCUCUGCUAGAAACUUUUAAAUAAUCGUUUUUAAACCUUGACAAAAUAUGAAGAGAUAUAUAAAGACGAAAUUGGCGGGAGAACCGACAGGCACUAAUUUUUAACCGGGGAGUUAAGCUUAGGAUCUUAGAUUUGCGGUUCCGAAGGUCCCCAGGCAGUGCCAACUCGUCCUAGUGGAGUUAGGUUUAAUGAAGGUAAAUCAUUUGGACGUGUAGAAGAUGCGAUUAAAAGUAGAACAAGAUAAGAAUUCGAGUAGGGUUGAAGCCGAAACUAGUCUAAAUAUGAUUUAAGCAAUCAAGUCUUGUAAACAAUCCGUCAGUCAAAAAACUAUUACAAAUCGUCUACUGUAUCUGUUAACCCUCGCAUCAAGAAUAUUCUUUAAUGUCUUCGAGAUCAUUAUUCUAAUGUCUACACACGCGCGCAAUUCCCAUAAGCAAAGAUGUGGAACUAGGUCAUUGCUGGAAUUUAUGAUACUUUAUGUAUAUAAUGGAUAAUUUGGGUUAGUUUACGUUACGUUAUUGAAGAGUAUAUAUUCUUAGUUACAGUAGGUAGGAGCAAAAGUUCGUCUUCAACGCGACAGAGCUACGCUCAGAAGAAUUGACAGUCACUGUUUUAACUUACAAGAUGGCAAGUGUAUGGCAGUUAAUAACGUUGGUUCUGGUUGCAUUAACUGUGCAGUUAACAUGCGCGAAUUUGGAGUUAAAUGCUCGAAGCCUGGCUGACAACGAAGAUAACUAUCGAAGAAUUAUAGAUCGGAGAGCACGGAAUCUAAAUAUCGUUCCUCACACUAGAUCAGUAAGAUACCCACAUCUUUUAGACGCGCAUAAAUAUUACAUCCGAGUCACAUAUCCUGAUGGUAAAAUAGUAUUCGCGGAAUAUACUUGUCCCAAUGGAAUUCAUUUCAACCCAGGUACUGAAACAUGUGAAGCUCAGGAUGGCCAAAUAGCUGAUCCACCGAUAAUACCAGAGCUGCCGGACAUUAAAUGUGGAAGUUUUCUUGGAUACUAUUGCCACCCUUCGGGAGAAUACACGUACUGCACGCCAGAUAAAAAAGAAAUUAUUCCUAAAGCGAGUUGUGUCACAGACAAAAGAUGCUAUCCUGGUGAAUCAUUUCCGUGCACGAAAAAAAAACCCUAAUAUCCUACAAAAGUCGUUAACAUGAAAUCACAGUAUCAGAUAAAAGCUUAUCUGCAUUUCUAUUAUAUUCUACAUAUAUCUGAUAUAUUCAAGCAAAACAUUACCUGUCAUUCUAUCGCUUUUUCUCUCCCAUCUUCGUAAAAUUACUGCUAAUAUUUUGUAAAAACUUCUGUGUAUUUCCUGUUCUAUCAACGCGCAAUCAAACUGAAUGUUGUAGAAGUAAGAGAAUAAACAGAUUGAUUAGACGCAUUUUAUUAAGAUUAUUAA